AUUGAACGCUGGCGGCAGGCCUAACACAUGCAAGUCGAGCGGAUGAAGGGAGCUUGCUCCUGGAUUCAGCGGCGGACGGGUGAGUAAUGCCUAGGAAUCUGCCUGGUAGUGGGGGAUAACGUCCGGAAACGGGCGCUAAUACCGCAUACGUCCUGAGGGAGAAAGUGGGGGAUCUUCGGACCUCACGCUAUCAGAUGAGCCUAGGUCGGAUUAGCUAGUUGGUGGGGUAAAGGCCUACCAAGGCGACGAUCCGUAACUGGUCUGAGAGGAUGAUCAGUCAAAUUGGAACGGGAACCCGUUCAGAAUCCCAAGGGGAGGAAGAGUUGGGAAAUAUUGGACAAUGGGGGAAAGCUUGUUCCAGCCAGGCCGGUGGGUUGAAAAAGGCUUCCGAUUUGUAAAGCACUUAAAGUUGGAAGAAAGGCAAUAAGUUAAAACCUUGCUUUUUUGACGUUACCAACAGAAUAAGCACCGGCUAACUUCGUG
RNAcentral lists this ribosomal RNA (483 nucleotides) under uncultured bacterium. RNAcentral describes it as "partial 16S ribosomal RNA". It matches the Rfam family "Bacterial small subunit ribosomal RNA", at positions 30 to 507 of the family's 1533-position model. The record is from RNAcentral.